This 253-nucleotide ribosomal RNA is filed under the name uncultured bacterium. Its description in RNAcentral is "partial 16S ribosomal RNA". It matches the Rfam family "Bacterial small subunit ribosomal RNA", at positions 524 to 776 of the family's 1533-position model. The record is from RNAcentral.
UCCAGAGGUCUCAAGCGUUGUUCGGAUUCAUUGGGCGUAAAGGGUGUGUAGGUGGCGCCGUAAGUCGGGUGUGAAAUUUUAGAGCUUAACUCUGAAACUGCAUUCGAUACUGCGGUGCUUGAGGACUGGAGAGGAGACUGGAAUUUACGGUGUAGCAGUGAAAUGCGUAGAUAUCGUAAGGAAGACCAGUGGCGAAGGCGGGUCUCUGGACAGUUCCUGACACUGAGACACGAAGGCCAGGGGAGCAAACGGG